GUCUAACAUUGUUUCUAUAUUCCCAUAUGAGACAUUGCCUGAGAUUCAGCUUUAUUUGGACCGUUCUUCUAUCUCUUAAUCAAUACAAACUACUCUCAUAUUUACUUUUUUGUAUAUGUCAAGGUCUUUGUCCUCUUAUCAUCCUUAUAUUUACUGUAAUUUUGCCCAAAAUAUAGAUCAAUUAUUUUUCAUCUAAUUUAACUUAAAUGUCACUUCCUCAUGACAAUCUCCAUGACCUUAUUUCUAAAAUAGAUUCUUCAACUACUUGCAUACUAUCAACUCCAACACACUGAUUUAUGCAUUCAUUUUUUUUCUUUUUUCUUGUACUAUAAUGCAAUCUUUAUAAAAGAAAGUUCAUAAUACUUUCUAUUCAUUCCUAAUCUAUACACUAUUAUGGACAUGGUACAUUAGUGGAGACUUAUUAUUUAUUACAUGAUUCAGUAAGUUGCAUAAAUAAACUUUAUACUAUUCUUCAUUUUAAUGAAUAUGCAUCCCGUGCAUUGGUUAGACCAUCAUGUAGUAAUUAUGUGAGUUCUUCAAUUCAGUGACCUAGUUGACAUUGCCUAAACAUUUUAAUUUGUCACAGAUAGUCUCUGUCAUAUUCAAAACAAUACUUUGUUCACUGAACAAUUAUCUCAGCUGGGAAUAUAUUUGACAUGAAAGAAUGAGAUUCCUAAGUUUAAUUCACAGCAUCCAUGUGAAAAUGCCAGCUGCCAUAUGUUUGUGGUCCCAUCUCUGAAGAGACAGAGAGAUGAUGAUUCCUAGGCACUUACUUAUCAGGGAGUCAAAUUUCUUUUGUGAGCUGUUCCAGUGAAAGUUUAAAAACCAAGAGGACCCAGAGCUGUGUUCCCAGAGCUGAACCUGUACCUCAGCUCUCUGUCCCCAGAUCCAAUGAGGAAAUAGAUGGACUUCCAGGAGUGCUGACACACUCAAGAGCACAGGAAAGACUUUUUCUUCUCAGAGGUAACUUCCUGGAGUGCUCAGAACCCACGAAAAGAGGUGCAGUCUGUUACAGCAUACUUUUGUUUCUAUCUAUUCCAUAUAGCUGAAAUUUAUCCACAGUUCUUGGCACACAAGAUAAUUCAAGAGAGAACAACGGUCCCAUUACUGUUGACACACAGGCUAAGAGAGAAUUCAAGCCACUUUCAGAGACAGCAAAACCAGCUAACUCCAGAUGGUGAGGGGCAAGUAUAAUUCCCUAAGGAACAUAAACUGAUGUUACUAGACAUCAUCAGAAACCAGUUCUCCCACCAAAGCUAGCCCAGUCUACCCCUGACACACCAGAAAAGAGAUAGAAAAGUUUGUAGUUCAAAUCACUGAACAUGAUGAGGUUAAAGGAUUUUAAGAAGGACAUAAAUAACUCCAUCAAAGAAAUACAAGACAACAGAUGUAAAGAGAUAGAAGACCUCAUAGAGGAAACCCAAAAAUCCCUUAACGAAUUACAUUACAACAUAACCAAGCUGCUGGAGGAAUUGAAAAAUCCAUCAGGAAGUAAAAAUGGAAACAGAAAACAACAACAACAACAACAAAAACAACAACAACAACAACAACAGCAAACCACACAAAGAUGAAAACUCUGAAUAUAGAAAACCUGGGAAAGAUAUUAGGAGUCAUAAACGCAAGCAUCAACCAACAGAAUAUAAAAUAUAGAAAAGAAUCUCAGGGGCAGAAGAUACCAUAGAAAACAGUUACACAAUUGUCCAAAAAUACAAAACAAAAAACUCCUAACCCAAAACAUCCAGGAAAUCAUAGACAAAAUGAGAAGAUAAAACCUAAGGAUAAUAGGUAUAGAAGAGAAUGAAACUCCCACUUUGAAGGGUCAGUAAAUAUCUUCUACAAAAUUAUACUAGAAAUCUUCCCUAUCCUAAAGAAAGAGACAACCUUGCACGUACAAAAAGCAAAAAGAAUUCCAAAAAAAUUGGAGCAGAAAAGAAAUUUCUUCCAUCACAUAAUAGUUAAAAUAUAAAGUGCACAAAACAAAGAAAAAAAUGUUAAACGCAGUAAGGGAAAAAGGUCGAGUAACAUAAAAAGGGAGACCAAUCAGUAUUCCACACUUCUUAAAAUAGACUGUGAAAGCUAGCAAUCCUGGGCAUAUAUCACACAGAUCCUAAAUGAAAAAAAAUGUCAGCCCAGGCUACUGUAAAACCUCUCAACUACCAUAGAUGGAGAUUCCAAGAUAUGCCAUGUCAUGAGCAAAUUUACACAAUAUCUUUCCACAAAUCCAGUCCUACAAAAGAUGAUAGAUGGAAAAUUCCAGUACAAGGCAGGAAACUACACCCAGAAAAAGAAAGAACACAAUCUACUUUUAAAAAACACAAAAAAGAGAUAAAGUAGGUAGCCACAGAAACAUAAUUCGACAUUUAACAAGAAAAAUAAUAGACAAAACCAAUCAUUUUCCGAUAUCAUUAAACAUCAAAGGACUCAAAUACCUAUAAAACGACAAACACUAGAAGUCAACUGCCCUGGAAUAAAAACACUUUAUUCUUCCUCUGUCUGCAAUGGAGGGGUCAGAGACUUGGCCAUCUGAUGGACCAAAAUCUAGAAUUGACCUUGUGACUGAGGAGUGUCUCAAACAUUCAGCCUCUGCUGUAGUGUACCUGAAACUGAAUCCUUGUGAACAAGAAUCCAUAGAAGAUUCUCACUUUGUUUGUGGCUGACCAGAACUUGUUCCUCAAACCUUAUUGCAUAGCCAAUACAACUCUGACCACCAAAAAAUCUUCAAGAACAAUGGAUUGAGGUCCCUUGGCCAAUGAAUAAAAAUUCCAGCCUGGAUCCAAGGCCACUUAUCUAAGAUUCUCACCAGAAAGGCCAAUAUCCCUCACACCCAUACCUGUGCGGCUUAUAGUAAGUUUAAAUAGGGUUUAGAUCCAGUGACUUUGACACAAGAUUUCAGAAUAAAUCUCAGAUUGCUGUCAAGUCUGUAGUGGAGGCCUUGGAGAUAAGAAUUUUCUUGAGUUCUCUGAAAAUAUGGAGCCCUGGAGUGCUGGGACCAUAGUCUUCUAUAGAAGGUAAUCAGGAAUAGUCCCUUACUUUCAAACUGGUUUAAGAACUUUCUCCUUUCAAAAACAUUGGUAUUUUUUUCUGCUCAGGAUGAUUAGGCCUUAGAGUUACUCAUUUGACCAAAUGGUCUCUCAGAACCAUCCCUUUUGCUUGGGGCCCAUGGAAUAUUUUACCUCAGACCAUGGAGCAUUGAUCCCUCUGUUGAAGGUUCACUGAAAUCCAAAAGGAGGGAGCAAAUCCUGGAAUCUCAUGCUACUUCCUUGUGUAAGGUCACAUGAUAUGUUGUGAAGUCAUCAGUCUGGUGCUCAUUUCUUUUUGGUUGAAUAUAGUUUUUAGGAGGCAAUCAGGCUUAGGACACCCCCAACUUUUCUUGAAUCAUGGAAUCUAUAUUCAGUCUCUUGCAGAUUCAGCUAAAGAUGUGUAUAUGCUAGAAUGUGAAGUACCAUUAGAAGAUGAAGCAAUGUAGGACCUCUUGAGCUAUUGUAAGCAAUUUAAUUUUUUCUCAAAUACUAGGGGAAUUUGAAUACUCAAAACAAUUUCCUGUCACAGGGACAUCAGCAACUCUUCUUUACUCGGGGGUACUCAUCUAUUCUUUCUUUGAUUAAGGAGGUGUCAUAUGUUAUCCCUGAAAGAAAGGUUACUUCAUAUCAUUCUAGUUUGUCCAAAGGAAGUUUAGAUAUUAAUUUAGGGUGAGGAAACCCACACUAUUUCUUGAUAUUAUGGACUGUGCCACAGAUAUGUUUCCUAAUUUUUCCCUGGUUUCUCUGUCAGUUCAAGGUAGACUGGAGGUUCACUUGGGAUGCAAUGAAGAGCCCCUGACAAGCAUAUUCUUCAAAGCCUCCCAUGGUGUAACUGAAGAUACGAUAUGUGAAGUAGCCCUAGCUUGCCUGCUCAAGUCUUCAAAGCCCAAAGACAACUGCUGGAAUGAAAUGCAACCUAUAGGACUGAUGGAAGAAUUGCUACCUGGACUUUCAAAUGCCAUGAAAAUAUAUGGACAUUCUAAAUACUGAUAAAGAAUAGGAAGCUGAUCAAGCAAUACUGGAUCUUCCUCUGCUCCACGAGAGGUGUCCUUUCACAUGCAGAGGAAUGUGUAGAUGGACAUAUAUUUGAAUAAGAUACUGAACCUAAGACUACUGCAUUAGAGCCUCGUACAAGACUUCUAAGACUGUUGACUGCCUACCAUGGAUAUUCAGGCAUCUGCAGAUACUACCUUUUGAGGAAUGAAUCCUUCUCAGGAGACAAUAGACGGAACCUGCACUUCAAUGAUAAUUAAAUGGCACUUCAAGAUAUCAAAUCAAAAUAUCAAAGUGAGAAUGGAAUAAAUUUAUUAGUACAGUG
Rattus norvegicus (Norway rat) is the source of this 4338-nucleotide non-coding RNA. The record is from RefSeq and is a predicted model, not a curated record. Lineage: Eukaryota; Metazoa; Chordata; Mammalia; Rodentia; Muridae.